This is a non-coding RNA of Monodelphis domestica (gray short-tailed opossum), 6571 nucleotides long. The record is from RefSeq and is a predicted model, not a curated record. NCBI's taxonomy places the organism in Eukaryota, Metazoa, Chordata, Mammalia, Didelphimorphia, Didelphidae.
AGAUCACUAGACAACUUCCGGUUGUCAAAAUCUCGGAGGAGAAAGCAGGGGUGGUCACCGUGGUAGGGCCUCCGCAGAUGGUUGAGGUGCCCUUCGGCACUUGGGUGGCUCAGUCCUUCUUCGUUGAACUCGAUGCAUCCGCGGCGUCCAGACGGCUUCGAUGGCUUGGGCUAUAGGGGUGGAGGCAGCAGCCGGGAGGAUCCGGGGGGCAACAGUUUCUCCGCAAAGUCCUUCAGCUCCUCGGACCUGAGCCACUGGGUGACCACUCCGCCCGACAUCCCUGGCAGCCGCAACCUGCACUGGGGGGAGAAGACCCCACUUUAUGGCGCUGGAGCAGCUCCCACCCCAGUCGGGGCGUCCUGCGAGGAGCCCUAUCCUGGCGGCUGCAGCAGCGGGCCCGGGGCUAGUAGUGAACAGUUAAAUAGAUUUGCUGGAUUUGGUAUUGGACUUGCAAGUCUGUUUACAGAAAAUGUGUUGGCCCAUCCUUGCAUUGUUCUCCGUCGCCAAUGCCAGGUUAAUUAUCAUGCUCGACAUUAUCACCUCACUCCAUUUACAGUCAUCAAUAUUAUGUACAGCUUCAACAAAACCCAGGGUCCAAGAGCCCUUUGGAAAGGAAUGGGAAGCACAUUUAUUGUUCAGGGGGUCACACUUGGAGCUGAAGGAAUCAUCAGUGAAUUCACACCUUUGCCAAGGGAACUUUCUCACAAAUGGAGUCCUAAACAAGUGGGAGAACACCUUCUACUUAAAGCCCUAACUUAUGUGGUGGCAAUGCCUUUUUAUUCAGCGAGCCUGAUUGAGACUGUUCAGAGUGAGAUAAUUCGGGACAAUGCUGGAAUUUUGGAAUGUGUAAAAGAAGGAAUUGGCAGAGUGAUUGGCUUGGGAGUGCCUCAUAGCAAGCGUUUGCUCCCACUUCUUGCUUUGACCUUUCCCACUGUUUUGCAUGGAGUUCUUCAUUAUAUCAUAAGUUCUAUCAUCCAGAAGUUUGUUCUACUGCUUCUGAAAAGGAAGAAUACUCAUAAUCAUCCAACUGAAAGUACCAGUCCUGUGCAGAGUAUAUUGGAUGCUUAUUUUCCUGAACUGAUUGCAAACUUUACUGCCAGCCUCUGCUCUGAUGUUAUGCUUUACCCACUGGAAACAGUUUUGCACCGUCUUCAUAUUCAAGGAACACGUACAAUAAUUGACAAUACAGACCUUGGCUAUGAAGUGCUUCCAAUCAAUACUCAGUAUGAGGGAAUGAGAGACUGUAUCAAUACUAUAAAGCAAGAAGAAGGAAUGCUUGGUUUUUAUAAAGGGUUUGGCGCUAUUAUAGUACAGUAUGCACUGCAUGCAGCUGUUCUUCAGAUUACCAAAAUUAUUUACUCUACACUGCUUCAAAGUAAUGUUUAAAGUAGAGAUCCAGCACUCAGUCCAGGAAACAUAAUCUGGACUCAUAUACUAUGAAAUUGUGAAGGAAAAAUGAAUAUCAGAAAAAAUGGUUAGGAAAAUGAAAUUGGUGAAAAAAGAGUUCAUGGUGACAAUUUUUAUUAUAAAACAUAAUUGUAUCAAAAAUACUCUAAAUUUCCAAAUCAUAACAAAACAGUACUCAUAAGAUUAAUAUGGGGUUGCUGAGCUCUUAUAUGCUGGAUUGAAAAAUAAUAUUCUGAAUAGAAGCAAAUAUUUUUCUUGACAUAAGAAAAGGUAUUUGGACAUAAAAAUUUAUCUUUCCUCAAUAUUUAUUAUCUGUUUAAGCACCUAGAUUGAUAUUAGAAUGGUAUCUCUUAUCCAUUGAGUUACACAGGUCAAUUGAUUAUAUCUUAAUGAUAGCAAUUACAUGUAGUCAACCAUGAAACAGCCAAGAUAUACCUUGCAAAUUAUGAGCAGGAGCUUGAGACUUUGUGUUUUUUAAAUGUGUUGUUAAAGUAUAGUUAUAAAGUAAUAAUUAGUGGAGUACAGACAACUUGCUAUUUAUAAAAUUUUUCUCCAUAUCAUCCUCCAUAUUCAUUUUAUAUACUUCUUAAUUGACUCUACUGCAAGAUUAACCUAAAAUGAAACUAAUGGUGUACUUUCUACCUGUAUCUCACUAAUGAUGAAGCAUACAGAAUGUAGACUCAAUUAUUUGGUAAUAAUGAGGCAGAAUAAAUUAAUUAGUUUUCCACAUCCACACUAGUGAUCCACCAUUAUCACUAAUUCUAAUUUUGCCAGCAAUUUAAUGCAGACAUGAUUUACUUGUAUAUCUGAACCAUCAGGAUACUAUUUUUAAAACCACUUUUCAAACAUUAACCACACUUAAAACUAUAUAAGACAUAGAAUUAUCAUGAGAACUGAUUAUUACUCGUAUCCACUUUUAUAAAUUGUGUUUUGAAAAAAGUCUCAAAAUAUUUCAUUUCAGAGUUCCUUGACCUCCAGUAGACAAAAGCAAAAUUAAUGUAAUAUUUGUUGUCCUUUUUCUUUCUUGUAGUGAUAGUCAAUUAAUUUCCUUUUAAAAUUUUAGUUUUUGAGACUUUGCUAAAAACUUUCCAAAUUACAAGUGCAUAAGGAGGAAAACAAGGCUAUUUCUAUUUUUUAUUUAAUUUGUUCUUUGGAUGAGCACUGAGAAAACGCACUAUAACCCUAAAAUGGAGUUUGGUCAUGGGUAUUUUUAUUUUUUCUUAAUCAGUUUCUUGGAAGAACACAAUUUAACCAAAUGAGGGGAAAAAACUUGAAAGAAUCAGUUUUAAGGAAGAGCAAAAUUCUGCCUUUCUUCUGAAUUAGCUUUGAAUACCUGUCAUCCCCAACGCUGCCUCUUAGACUCUGGCUUCCUUCAAGAUUCAGUUGUAGCAACAUCUUCCAGGAGCACUCCAACCAAAAAUACUACAGAUAAUCUCUCCUAGAAAGCAAAACUAAUUAAAAAACAAAAUUCUAACCAGACCAAAUUCUGAUGGCCAAUUCAAAGGAAAAGUUAUAAUGAGUCAUUUUUCUAGCCAAGGUUAACCAAAAGGACAGACUGAACUAUCUGUGGAGAAGAGGGAUGAAAUUUGGCCAGGAUCCCAGGACACAGAGCAUUCCUAUGCUCAAGGAAUGUAUCAACUGGGAAAAGAUGUUCUAGACUCAUACUGGGCCAUUGAGUACAAAAACAGAUGCCGACUGGCAGCUUUGCCACUUACUAUGCAAAUCUGGGGUGGACUCAGAUAAGUAUCAAUGGGACUUGGGCAGUAUAUUGAGCAAGGAUCAAGUACAGAAGCAAACAGUUCUGUGUGGUUUAAUGUAAAAAAUAGACUCGAAUACAGGACUACAAUCCCCAUGAGCCUUUGCUCCACUGCCUUUGCUCCACUUCCCCAGAAUGCUGCAAAGGCUCGUGGGGAUUGUAGUCCUGUAUUCGAGUCUAUUUUUUUACAUUAGAUCCCAGGAGUUGAGUAUGGCCUCAACUCUAGCUUCUAACCCAAUCUGAAAUCUACAGAAUAAUAUCUUGAAAAGACCAACACUUUCCCUCUGAACUAGCAGAUCUUCCCAGCUAAUAGAUUGACUGUUUCCAGUUCUACUAUUGUUUAGACCCAAGUUUAGGGAUGCAGCAUCAAACCUUGCCCUGGUUCAGACUACUUUGAGAGAUAUGAAAACUUGAAGCCACAAAGAAAUCAGCAAUAAGACUCCAAAGUCAGAAAGUCAACUGAAAGAAUAUGCAAACAAACAAACAAAAACCCCCAAUUCCACCAUCAAGUUAUUUUUAUGACAGGAAUGCUCAAGAAACAACCACAGAAGAAAAGAAUGACUGAAAAUUUUAAGAAUCAUCAGAUAAUUUGAAUGCCCCAAAUGAAAGAACCUAGACAUCAUAUUUCUAGAAAUCAUUUAAAAAAAUGCAAAUUCCCCAACAUCUUAGAAACAGAGGGUAAAGUAAAAUUAAAAAUGAAAGAAUCCAAUCAAUACCUCCUGAAAGAAACUCCAAAAUGAAAACUCUCAGGCAUAUUAUAACCAAAAGUCAAAGAAAAAAUAAUGCAAGCAGCCAGAAAGACUUCAUGUACCAAGGAGCCAGUAUCAGGAUGAUAUGCAAUUUAGAAGCUAUUAAAGAAGCAGAUAACUUGGAAUAUAAUACUCAAAAAGGCAAAGCCUUUGAAAUUAGUGACCCAGCAAAUCAUUAAUGAAAUAGAGAACUUCCAGGCAUUUCUUUUUUUUAAUUUAAAUUUCCCCCAAUUACAUGUAAAAACAGUUUCCAAUAUUUUAAAAGGAAUUUUGAGUCUUGAAUUCUCUCCCUUCUUUCCUCCUUUACCUUCAAAUGGUAAGCCAUCUCAUGUGGAUUUUACAUGUGCAAUCAUGUAAAACAUUUUCCCUUAUUAAUUCUUUUGUAGAAGGAAAUAAAAAAAGAAUUAAGAAAGUGAAAAAAGUUUGCUUUGGUCUGGAUUCAGACUCCAUCAGUUCUUUUUCUGGAACCAGAUGACAUUUUUUUUUUAAUGAUGAAGCCUUUGAGAUAGUUUUGGGUCAUUGUAUUGCUAAGAAUAGAUGUUAUUCACAGUUGUUUAUUGGAAACUAUUCCUGUCACUGUACAAUGUUCUCCUGGUUCUGCUUAUUCCACUCUGCUUUAGUCCUUGUAAGUCUUUCCAGGUUUUUCUGAGCUCCUUCUCCUUGUCAUUUUUAAUAGCACAAUCAUAUUCCAUUAUAGUCAUCUAACUAUAACUUACUCAGCCAUUCCCCAAUUGAUAGGUAUCCCCUCACUUUCCAAUUCUUUGCCUCCACAAAAAGAAAUGCUUUAAAUAUUUUUGUACAUAUAAGUCCUCCCAUCUACUCCUUUUAAAAAAAAAUUUCUUUGGGAUUCAAACCUAGUAUUGUAUUCAACUGUUUUAGUUCUCCAGGCAUAGGUCCAAAUUGCUCUCCAUAACAGUUGAAUCAGUUCACAACAGCCAGAACAAUAGAUUAAUAUCUCAAAUUUCCCAUAUCCUCUCCAAGGUUUUGUCAUUUUCCUUUUCUGUCAUAAUGGCCAAUCUGAUAGGUAUGGGGUGGUACUUCAGAAUUGUUUUAAUUUGCAUUUCUCUAAUUAAUAGUGACUUAGAGCAUUUUUUGCAGGAUUAAUUACUUUGAGAACUGACUAUUUUAUAUCUUUUGACCACUUGGGAUUUGGGGAAUGACUUGUAUUCUUAUAUAUCCAACUCAUUUUUCUAAGUAUUUGAGAAAUGAGGCCUUUAUUACACUUAUUGUAAUUUUUUUUUUGCACCAUUAUGAUUACUGUGUAUUACUUUCCAUCCUAUUUACCCCUGUUUCGUUUCUGACCACCUUAUCCUCCAACUUGCCCUUUUCUAUCAUCCCCACUCCCCUUUUCUUAUCCCAUUUCCCUCCUGCUUUCCUGUAGGGUAAAUGAUUUCAAUGUGAUUGUGUAUGUUCUUCUCUCAAUGAGCCAAUAAAAAUGAGAGUAAGGUUCAAUGAGCGUAAGGGCCUCCCCAUCCCCCUCAUCUUCCCCUUCAAUGUAAAAGCUCUUUCAUGCCUCUUUUAUGUGCAAUUACUUCAUCCUAUUUUUCCUUUCCCCCUUCUCCCAAUGCAUUCCUUUUUCUCAUGCUUUCAUUUAAUUUAAAUUUUUAGAGAUCAUAUUUACUUUACCUCCUUGCCCACUGUCUAUGUAUAUUCCUUCUAACUGCCCUAAUAAGUAUAUAUACUUAGGAGUUAUAUAAGAAUUAUCUUUCCAUGUAAGUAUGCAUAUAGUUUUACUUUAUUGAAUGUCUUUUGAUUUUUCUUUCCUGUUUACCUUUUAUGUUUCUCUUGAGUCUUGCAUUUGAGAGUCAAAUUUUCUAUUCAGCUUUAGUCUUUUCAUCAGGAAUGUUUGAAUUGUAUUUCAUAAAAUCCAAGAUUUAAAUUUUGUUCAAGAUAGAGCUUCAGAGAAGAAGCUUGCUAACUAACUGAAUCCAGAAUGAACCUUGGGGUGUGGUUGAUUGAACAUUUUUUUAAUGUACACUCUUAUGCCAAAGGGGAACUGCCUCCUAAUUGGCUUUUGUCAAUGCGCCCAGCAAAACAUUGGUUUGCUGUCUUUCUCUCUCCUCUAUUUCCCCAUAUCUACAACUAUUAUAGUUUUCCUCUUUGUGGGUAAAAACUUUGUAUACACUUACAGUUAGAAUUUUUGGGGGUGCAGUACGCUUAUGUUUAGUGAUCAAUUGGGGAGAGUAGUCCCCCAAUCAUCAUCAGGGGGGAUUGUGAAUUUAAAAAAUCUCCAUCUUGGUCUAGCACCCCAAAAUUGUGCACACCCACACUACAUGGGCAUGUGCUAGUCAAUGACAAAUCAGAAAUAACUAACUGCCCACCUGGGCUAUCCUAAGCCAAGCUAGAGCCACCAUUGGCACUUGUGAGGCACAGGAAGUGAGGUAGGGAACAGCCUCUGGAAUUCACUCACUUCCUGUGGAGAGAGCUAGAUGCCAGUUCAUGUGAGGAGCUUGGACAGGGAGGAGGCCCGCAGACAGCUUCCCUUAAGAUUGGUCACGUGAGUCAAGGGCUGUUUCCGUCUUUACCUUGGCCCCUUUGGGCCUAACUCCUUCUGGCUCCCUGCUAGAGGUUGAGUAAACCCUUUUCCUUUUUCUCCUUUCUCCUUCUCUCCCUCUCCUUUUUCUUACUCUCAUUGUGAUUAAACCCACGAUAAAUUCCA